This 275-nucleotide ribosomal RNA is filed under the name uncultured bacterium. RNAcentral's name for it is "partial 16S ribosomal RNA". It matches the Rfam family "Bacterial small subunit ribosomal RNA", at positions 521 to 795 of the family's 1533-position model. The record is from RNAcentral.
UAAUACGUAGGGACCAAGCGUUGUUCGGAUUUACUGGGCGUAAAGGGCGCGUAGGCGGCGCAAUAAGUCACUUGUGAAAUCUCCGGGCUUAACUCGGAGCGGCCAAGUGAUACUGUUGUGCUAGAGUGCAGAAAGGGCAAUCGGAAUUCUCGGUGUAGCGGUGAAAUGCGUAGAUAUCGAGAGGAACACCUGAGGCGAAGGCGGGUUGCUAGGCUGACACUGACGCUGAGGCGCGAAAGCUAGGGUAGCAAACGGGAUUAGAUACCCCGGUAGUC